This 139-nucleotide ribosomal RNA is filed under the name uncultured bacterium. RNAcentral describes it as "partial 16S ribosomal RNA". It matches the Rfam family "Bacterial small subunit ribosomal RNA", at positions 355 to 509 of the family's 1533-position model. The record is from RNAcentral.
UGGGGAAUAUUGCACAAUGGGGGAAACCCUGAUGCAGCAACGCCGCGUGAAGGAAGACGGUUUUCGGAUUGUAAACUUCUGUUCUUAGUGAAGAAUAAUGACGGUAGCUAAGGAGCCAAGCCACGGCUAACUACGUGCC